RNAcentral lists this ribosomal RNA (497 nucleotides) under uncultured bacterium. RNAcentral's name for it is "partial 16S ribosomal RNA". It matches the Rfam family "Bacterial small subunit ribosomal RNA", at positions 28 to 507 of the family's 1533-position model. The record is from RNAcentral.
GAUGAACGCUGGCGGCGUGCCUAAUACAUGCAAGUCGAGCGAACGGACGAGAAGCUUGCUUCUCUGAUGUUAGCGGCGGACGGGUGAGUAACACGUGGAUCACCUACCUAUAAGACUGGGAUAACUUCGGGAAACCGGAGCUAAUACCGGAUAAUAUUUUGAACCGCAUGGUUCAAAAGUGAAUGACGGUCUUGCUGUCACUUAUAGAUGGAUCCGCGCUGCAUUAGCUAGUUGGUAAGGUAACGGCUUACCAAGGCAACGAUGCAUAGCCGACCUGAGAGGGUGAUCGGCCACACUGGAACUGAGACACGGUCCAGACUCCUACGGGAGGCAGCAGUAGGGAAUCUUCCGCAAUGGGCGAAAGCCUGACGGAGCAACGCCGCGUGAGUGAUGAAGGUCUUCGGAUCGUAAAACUCUGUUAUUAGGGAAGAACAUAUGUGUAAGUAACUGUGCACAUCUUGACGGUACCUAAUCAGAAAGCCACGGCUAACUACGUG